UACGAAGGGGGCUAGCGUUGUUCGGAUUUACUGGGCGUAAAGGGCGUGUAGGCGGCUGAAUGAGUGGGAUGUUAAAUCCCCGGGCUCAACCCGGGACCUGCAUCUCAUACUGUUCAGCUCGAGCACAUCAGAGGAGACUGGAAUUCCCGGUGUUGCGGUGAAAUGCGUAGAUAUCGGGAGGAACACCAGUGGCGAAGGCGAGUCUCGGGGAUGUUGCUGACGCUGAGGCGCGAAAGCCAGGGGAGCAAACGGG
This 253-nucleotide ribosomal RNA is filed under the name uncultured bacterium. Its description in RNAcentral is "partial 16S ribosomal RNA". It matches the Rfam family "Bacterial small subunit ribosomal RNA", at positions 524 to 776 of the family's 1533-position model. The record is from RNAcentral.